UGUCAGAUCCCCGGCGAUGGAAAGCAGUCAACUCAUGGGUAGUAAAAAGAAUGUAUUGACAACACUAUAGGUUUGAAAAGGAAAGUUUUAUUAGAUGGAAAGAACAGUGCAGAAGACCGCAGCAGAGGACCUCAGCAAGAGAGAACUAAAAAUGGUCAAUUACAAAGCACAACAUAAGACUGGAACAUUGGAGUUAAGUAGCAGAGAUCAAAAGAGGAGAUUGCAGAUGGAGGUGUUGUAUGUGACUGUUUUACAUGGAUUCUUCGCUCUGGUAGCAGAUGUUGAAGAAGCUCUAUGAAUGUCCUGUCUCUAUGUCCCAGAAAAAGCAUUCCCAGAAGCACGGAGAAGUGAGGAGAAAAGGCAAUGCACCUGGAGCUGGAGACCAAGGCCCUGUUCUUACUGAUGGCCCUUGGAGCAGAUAUUUGAAUUGGAGAGAUAAAACCGUGGUUUUUGGGGUGUUAAUUUUGGUGGCUGAUGCAUUCUGUGAUUGAUUUGGCUAUUACAACUGGUAUUGAUUUUAAACACAUUAAUUGCAAAAUCUCAAUUGUGAUUUGAUUUCUGUAUUUACAAUACUAAAAACGAGGCUUUCGCCAGGAGAAGACAAUUGGCAGUACUCAGUUGGAAGUGCUUAAUUGUUAAUAUAUAUCAGCCGUGGUUCUUCAGCGUCGUCAGUGUUGCUCAGUCUUGCUCUUUGUGGCGACUACUGAAUGCUUGAAAAAUUCUCUCCUAUACUCCCACUCUGCACUGUAGAAGAGAAAGAGAGGAGAGUGGAAGAAAAAAGAGAGGGAGAGGAGAAAGAAAGAGAGGAGAGAGAAACAUGGGCAUGGAUGAUACAUAAG
RNAcentral lists this long non-coding RNA (839 nucleotides) under Homo sapiens (human). RNAcentral's name for it is "HSALNT0408973". Lineage: Eukaryota; Metazoa; Chordata; Mammalia; Primates; Hominidae. The record is from RNAcentral.